CCGGAGUCGUACGCUCCCGGGCAAGGGAGCGUGGCGGACGGCUGAGUCACACGUGGCUAACCUACCCUGAGGAGGGAGAUAACCCCGGGAAACUGGGGAUAAUCUCCCAUAGGCGAGGAGUCCUGGAACGGUUCCUCGCUGAAAGGCUCAUGGGCUAUUCCCCGCUCAUGAGCUGCCUYAUGWUUGGGCUGCGGYCCAUCAGGUAUUUGGGGGGGUAAGGGCCYCUCCAAGCCUAUAACGGGUAGAGGGCCGUGAGAGCGGGGAGCCCCCAGUUGGGCACUGACACAAKGGCCCAGGCCCUACKAGGGCGCACCACGCKCGAAACGUCCCCAAUGCUCCGCRRAAAGUGAGGGCGCCACCCCGAGUGCUCCCGUAAUGGAGCUUUUCCCCGCUCUACAAAGGCGGGGGAAUAAGCGGGGGGCAAGUCUGGUGUCAGCCGCCGCGGUAAUACCAGCCCCGCGAGUGGUCGGGACUCUUACUGGGCCUAAAGCGCCCGUAGCCGGCCCGACAAGUCACUCCUUAAAAACCCCGGCUCAACCGGGGGAAUGGGGGUGAUACUGUCGGGCUAGGGGGCGGGAGAGGCCAUCGGUACUCCCGGAGUAGGGGCGAAAUCCUCAGAUCUCGGGAGGACCACCAGGGCGAAAGCGGCUGGCUAGAACGCCCCCGACUGUGAGGGGCUAAAGCCGGGGCAGCAAAAGGGAUUAAAUACCCCUGUA
RNAcentral lists this ribosomal RNA (716 nucleotides) under Sulfolobus sp. RCSC1/01. RNAcentral's name for it is "bacterial SSU rRNA". It matches the Rfam family "Archaeal small subunit ribosomal RNA", at positions 52 to 743 of the family's 1478-position model. The record is from RNAcentral. Lineage: Archaea; Thermoproteati; Thermoproteota; Thermoprotei; Sulfolobales; Sulfolobaceae.